CUCCUCUACGCUCUGCCGAUCGCGCUGGAUAACGGCUAGCUGAAAAUGAAACGAGCGUUCUAAAAAUGGAUCGUCUUCAUUUAAAAAACUCUUGUAGGAUGCAUCCUGGUUUCUAGAGAUGAAUCGCGAAUUUUUAUACAGGAUCUCUCGAUAGGGAGUGGCACUUCUGCAGGGCAUCUGGAACACCUUCGCUACCGGCGAUUACUGCAACGUACGAAAACAUUCAUUUAUUGCGUGACGAGGAAUUUUCAACUGAAUUAAUAAAAAAUAGACACUAGAAUUAUUACCUGGCAUCGUGCUAUCGGAGCGAUCUUACGAGUAUUUACGUGCUAUAAAGUAGCGUAACCGGCUAAAGAGACACAGAGCCUAUUCUGGAACUCAUAACGAGAUGAUUAAA
Molecule: long non-coding RNA, 397 nt
Organism: Hylaeus volcanicus
Lineage: Eukaryota; Metazoa; Arthropoda; Insecta; Hymenoptera; Colletidae
Exons: 3
Source: RefSeq, a predicted model, not a curated record